This 544-nucleotide ribosomal RNA is filed under the name Clostridium sp. enrichment culture clone M10C3. RNAcentral's name for it is "bacterial SSU rRNA". It matches the Rfam family "Bacterial small subunit ribosomal RNA", at positions 356 to 916 of the family's 1533-position model. Lineage: Bacteria; Bacillati; Bacillota; Clostridia; Eubacteriales; Clostridiaceae. The record is from RNAcentral.
GGGGAAUAUUGCGCAAUGGGGGAAACCCUGACGCAGCAACGCCGCGUGGGUGAUGAAGGUCUUCGGAUUGUAAAGCCCUGUUUUCUGGGACGAUAAUGACGGUACCAGAGGAGGAAGCCACGGCUAACUACGUGCCAGCAGCCGCGGUAAUACGUAGGUGGCGAGCGUUGUCCGGAUUUACUGGGCGUAAAGGGUGCGUAGGCGGAUGUUUAAGUGGGAUGUGAAAUCCCCGGGCUUAACCUGGGGGCUGCAUUCCAAACUGGAUAUCUAGAGUGCAGGAGAGGAAAGCGGAAUUCCUAGUGUAGCGGUGAAAUGCGUAGAGAUUAGGAAGAACACCAGUGGCGAAGGCGGCUUUCUGGACUGUAACUGACGCUGAGGCACGAAAGCGUGGGUAGCAAACAGGAUUAGAUACCCUGGUAGUCCACGCCGUAAACGAUGGAUACUAGGUGUAGGGGGUAUCAACUCCCCCUGUGCCGCAGUUAACACAAUAAGUAUCCCGCCUGGGGAGUACGGUCGCAAGAUUAAAACUCAAAGGAAUGGACGG